RNAcentral lists this ribosomal RNA (497 nucleotides) under uncultured bacterium. Its description in RNAcentral is "partial 16S ribosomal RNA". It matches the Rfam family "Bacterial small subunit ribosomal RNA", at positions 28 to 507 of the family's 1533-position model. The record is from RNAcentral.
GAUGAACGCUGGCGGCGUGCCUAAUACAUGCAAGUCGAGCGAACAGACGAGGAGCUUGCUCCUCUGACGUUAGCGGCGGACGGGUGAGUAACACGUGGAUAACCUACCUAUAAUACUUGGAUAACUUCGGGAAACCAGAGCUACUACCGGAUAAUAUAUUGAACCGCAUGAUUCAAUAGUGAAAGACGGUUUUGCUGUCACUUAUAGAUGGAUCCGCGCCCGCUUAGCUAGUUGGUAAGGUAACGGCCUACCAACGCAACGAUGCGUAGCCGACCUGAGAGGAGGAAUCGGCCCACUGGAACUGAGACCCGGUCCCGAAUCCCAAGGGGGGCAGCAGUGGGGAAAAUUGGCCAAUGGGGGGAAGCCUGAUCCAGCCAUCCCGCGUGGGUGAAGAAGGCCUUCGGGUUGUAAAAACCUUUUUUUGGGGAAAAAAAAAAGGAGGUUAAUACCCCGCUGUUCUGACGGGACCCAAAGAAAAAGCCCCGGCUAACUUCGUG